GACGAACGCUGGCGGCGUGCUUAACACAUGCCAGUCGAACGGUGAAGCGCCUUCCUUUUUGGUGGGUGUGGAUGAGUGGCGAACGGGUGAGUAACACGUGAGUAACCUGCCCCCUUCUUCUGGAUAACCGCAUGAAAGUGUGGCUAAUACGGGAUAUUCUGGGUCUGUCGCAUGAUGGGUCUGGGAAAGAUAUUGUUUCGGUGGGGGAUGGGCUCGCGGCCUAUCAGCUUGUUGGUGGGGUGAUGGCCUACCAAGGCGGUGACGGGUAGCCGGCCUGAGAGGGUGGACGGUCACACUGGGACUGAGACACGGCCCAGACUCCUACGGGAGGCAGCAGUGGGGAAUAUUGCACAAUGGGCGCAAGCCUGAUGCAGCGACGCCGCGUGAGGGAUGGAGGCCUUCGGGUUGUGAACCUCUUUCGCCAGUGAAGCAGGCCUGCCUCGUUUGUGGGUGGGUCGACGGUAGCUGGAUAAGAAGCGCCGGCUAACUACGUG
RNAcentral lists this ribosomal RNA (494 nucleotides) under uncultured bacterium. Its description in RNAcentral is "partial 16S ribosomal RNA". It matches the Rfam family "Bacterial small subunit ribosomal RNA", at positions 28 to 507 of the family's 1533-position model. The record is from RNAcentral.